This 76-nucleotide transfer RNA is filed under the name Candidatus Berkelbacteria bacterium RIFOXYA2_FULL_43_10. RNAcentral's name for it is "tRNA-Ala". It matches the Rfam family "tRNA". Rfam says of the family: Transfer RNA (tRNA) molecules are approximately 80 nucleotides in length. Their secondary structure includes four short double-helical elements and three loops (D, anti-codon, and T loops). The record is from RNAcentral. RNAcentral also lists the same sequence under 1 other name. Lineage: Bacteria; Candidatus Berkelbacteria.
GGGCCGUUAGCUUAGUUGGUAGAGCGCCACUUUUGCACAGUGGAGGUCGUCGGUUCGAAUCCGACACGGUCCACCA